GGAAAGUCCAUGCCACACCAUUGCGGACAGCCACAGACCCGACGCUGAUAACCCGGCAGAGCAGCUUCACGCAAUCGGACACCACCGAAGUGCCCGACUAAACGCAGGUUAGAACGCCAGCCGGAACACACGGGUUCGCAGUUCCGCGAUCGAACCAGCCGCGAUGUACAGUUAGGCCUAACGGAUACACACGCGUCUAAAUUCAGCGCGAUUGCAGCCCUGGCAGCCUGCCAUAUUUGCAGCGAUACCGUUCCAGACAUCGUCCACACAGUUUCCCAAAAUCAGGGGUCCAAAACUGGGCUAAUUU
Long non-coding RNA from Rhipicephalus sanguineus (brown dog tick), 307 nucleotides. RefSeq lists it as uncharacterized. The transcript has 2 exons. The record is from RefSeq and is a predicted model, not a curated record. NCBI's taxonomy places the organism in Eukaryota, Metazoa, Arthropoda, Arachnida, Ixodida, Ixodidae.